GCAAAGUUCCAGUGUGAAGUUUAAUAAAAAAUAAAUAAAAGAAUUGAGUUGGGUGAACACCUGCUAAGUAUUGCAUCGAUAUCAAGGGGACAUUACAUAUCAGUUCCUAUACCAUGCUGAAUUAUGACAAACCAGGGGCUUAUAGAGGAAAGCACAUUUAGAUAGAAAGGGUAUGGUGCAGAACUAACAUGCUUCUCUUGUUAGUCAACUAAAGCAUCAUGUGAGCUCUAUACGUUUACAUUUCUACGUACUGAAUAAGCCCCGGACUCACAGUAAAAUCUACUUCCAGGUCAAGGGUGGGUAACUUCCUCUUCCGUGAACAGACAACUCAGAAUCUCUUGGCUUUCAAGCAGAUGGCUGUACACAAACCAGAGGAUCAAUGUGGCGGUGGAGCCUUCAAAAAAGUUGCUGCUGUCCAGUCCAGGGCCAGAGUUACAGCAUUAAAGUCUUCGCAGUGGACUGUACUUCUCCUGUACCAGGUCAUCACGGCCCAAGUGAGGCCUCCAGUGACGGUGUGAAUAAACAAAUCACACGAGGGAGGUGGUGUGAAGGCAGUAUUGGCCACCAGCCUGGACACUGCAGAAAAUGCCAUUUCCGGAGAUGAGAGAAGGGUAGAAGAGAACGUUCUCUGAGAGAAUGCACGGUUGGGAUUCAAGAAAUCAAUGCGACACCUGUUUAGGGUGUGAAAUAAGAAGAAUAUCGUCGGCAUGAAUAUUCAAAACAUGCUCUCGUUCAGUGAAAGAACCACGGCAUUGUUGUUUUUGUCCAACUCUGGAGACUGUGAGCGCUGUUGAUGGAAUAGGACCCAUGGACCUCAUCACUGAUAAGACUUGUUGUAAGUGAACCUGCCAGAACAGGAUGUACAGGGCUAUGUGAAUGAAAGCUCGCGGUACAGUUUAUAAGUUCAUCCGAUGUACUACAGGUAGCGGCACAAAACCGUUCCGUACACGUGCCAUCUAUCAGCAUAAAACCCCUUUCACACAUCAUCAACAAUGCCAUGGUAGGUUCAUGGAAGGAAAUGAAAAGGCUAUGACGUUCGUCAUUCAAAAAGGGCAUACGAGGCCUGUCCCUUGUCUUACCAGUUGAAGCCUGGCACGUCAGUUAUUUUGGAGGGGCCCUCUUUUGAAUUCAACAACUAAGACUUUAGCCCUUCUAAUGAUAAGCCAAACAUAUUUUUUUCCCUCUAUCACACCUCCAUUGAUAUUUCAACAAUAACUACUAUGAGGUGAAUAUUUUAAAGAGAGCAACUCUCGUAAAAGCUCUCCAAAAAUGUCUGUCGAUUUGAAUCGCAUGAUAACUACUUUAUUGAACAAGAAUGCACACUAGACUCUUAACAGACUUCUCAACAAAAAACAUUCAAUUAAAAAAUGAUUUGCAUCAUGAAUACUUUAAUAUGUAUUUUGACAUUCAAUUCAUAUUAGUUUCCUCAUUUUGGAUCCAAAGGGGACUAAGUGGUGACAUUAAGCUUUGGUGGUGUAGGCAUUGGGACUGACAGGCAAAUGUAAAAGCCAAAAGGCAAUAGUACCACCUCAAUAAUCUCAUCAUACUGACGAGCCGCAGUACAUGCAGUAUCACGUGUUAGAUAUAGUUAUCAUGAAUAAUGUGCUUUAUAUAUAAAACGUAUGAGCACAGGCAGUGAUCAUGUGCGUCAUAUUGAGGGAAUGGUUAAGUACGGUCAUUUAUUAUAAUUGUUUGUUCUUUUAGAAAAAUAUCAAUUUUAAAACCAGCCUCAACAACCACCUCUGUUUCUUCAUUGACAAAAAUAUCCCAUUUUUAUAUUUUCAAACAUUCAUACUUUACAAUCAUUGUACAUACACUUCAAUAUACAUAUCUUCUGUAUGUAUAUGCGUAUGCUUUUAAGUAUACUUUUGACACAUAUAACAUUUUAUGAUAGUGCACAUGCCUCUGAAGUUGCCAAACAUAAUAUUGAAAAAAUCUAAUAACAACACAAUGCAAUAAUAAUAGUAACAUUAAGGGGGAAACCACCCCUGAAAGAACAAAAACAUCCGGCAUCGGCAACACAGGUAAGAGCGGAGGACAAAACCAAACUUUUUUUUUUAUACAUAAAACAUAACAAAUGUCACUUGAAAAUGAAAAAGAACAAAUUCACAGGCGAAUGAAGAACACAUACUCACAAACACCCCCUCCUCUCGUCUCCUCUGUGUGUCCGGCCUCUGUAUUGUGCUCUAACAUCGUGUCAACCUCAAUCAAAAGAAAGAUAGAAGCGGGCCAAGUGGCUCAGAGUGGGAUACACUCACAAUAAAUGCACCUCCCACUAGGAGAGGAAGCGAGGCCGCUCAUCCCAAUGUUCAGAGGUUGGUUGAAUAUUCCUUUUAAAAGUAUCUUUAAAAAUAAAAUAAAAA
This is a long non-coding RNA of Oncorhynchus gorbuscha (pink salmon), 2363 nucleotides long. RefSeq lists it as uncharacterized. NCBI's taxonomy places the organism in Eukaryota, Metazoa, Chordata, Actinopteri, Salmoniformes, Salmonidae. The record is from RefSeq and is a predicted model, not a curated record. The transcript has 3 exons.